RNAcentral lists this ribosomal RNA (253 nucleotides) under uncultured bacterium. RNAcentral describes it as "partial 16S ribosomal RNA". It matches the Rfam family "Bacterial small subunit ribosomal RNA", at positions 524 to 776 of the family's 1533-position model. The record is from RNAcentral.
UACGAAGGGUGCAAACGUUGCUCGGAAUUAUUGGGCGUAAAGCGCACGUAGGCGGCUUAGCAAGUCGGAAGUGAAAUCCCAGGGCUCAACCCUGGAACUGCCUUUCAUACUGGCAAUCUCGAGUCCGAGAGAGGUGAGUGGAAUUCCGAGUGUAGAGGUGAAAUUCGUAGAUAUUCGGAGGAACACCAGUGGCGAAGGCGGCUCACUGGCUCGGUACUGACGCUGAGGUGCGAAAGCGUGGGGAGCAAACAGG